GCCGUUAUUUUUUUUUACUCCGAAAGCCAAAACUUUUUUAAUGAUAACAAAUAACGUUUUCUUUUAUAUAUGUUUUCACAUGAUCUAACUAAAAUUCAAACAAUUACAUUGCAUAUUAAACAAACUUAUAAAAAGAGUAACAGUAUACUUUGUUUUGGUUGCUUAGAAAAAGCAACAAAAGAAAAAUUACACAUUUCCUUUUGAAAACUAAAAUUCAAACAAUUUUAUUACAACCGGAGUCCACAUCUACAGAAACAGCGAUUCAUAUAUGUAUGUAAUAUGCAGGUUUCAGAUUUUCUCGGCAAGCACACACAUACAGAUGCUUGUUAGGUCUUCAGGAGAAGAAAUAGGCAAGUGUAAUGGAGAGCGAGGGAACGGCAAAUCGGUCACCAAAAAAAGUGCUUUCGCCGGACGUGAUCGUAGAGUGACUAGUGGAUUUACGAAAGAGUUUUCAGGCGAUCCUCGUGAUUUGUUCAUCCGGUAAGGAGGAGAGAAAGAGAGAAGAAAAAAAAAGGAUAACAGUGUUUUUAAGCACAGCCAUUACAUUAUUUGAAUUUUUAGAAUUUUUCUUUUUGAUUUGAUUAAAUGAUAUAUUUUGUUUUAUUAGAAAAUAUUUUAUAUUUAAGCUUUAAUUAAUUAAUUUAUUUAGUAUUUUUUAUUUUAAUUUUUUAAUAUAAAUUAUAUGAAAAAUAAUUAAUUUAUAGUUUGUUAGUAUAAUUGUUUACCG
Molecule: long non-coding RNA, 727 nt
Filed under: Panax ginseng (ginseng)
Lineage: Eukaryota; Viridiplantae; Streptophyta; Magnoliopsida; Apiales; Araliaceae
Description: long non-coding RNA (PGIN_LNC003346)
Source: RNAcentral